This 253-nucleotide ribosomal RNA is filed under the name uncultured bacterium. RNAcentral describes it as "partial 16S ribosomal RNA". It matches the Rfam family "Bacterial small subunit ribosomal RNA", at positions 524 to 776 of the family's 1533-position model. The record is from RNAcentral.
UACAGAGGGUGCGAGCGUUAAUCGGAAUUACUGGGCGUAAAGCGCGCGUAGGCGGCUUUUCAAGUCGAUUGUGAAAUCCCCGGGCUUAACCUGGGAACUGCAGUCGAGACUGUCUAGCUAGAGUAUGGGAGAGGGAAGUGGAAUUUCAGGUGUAGCGGUGAAAUGCGUAGAUAUCUGGAGGAACACCGGUGGCGAAGGCGGCGUUCUGGACUGUUUCUGACACUGAAAAACGAAAGCCAGGGGAGCAAACGGG